CGAACGCCGCGUGAGCGAUGAAGGCCUUCGGGUCGUAAAGCUCUGUUGUUAAGGAAGAACAAGUACGAGAGUAACUGCUCGUACCUUGACGGUACUUAACGAGAAAGCCACGGCUAACUACGUGCCAGCAGCCGCGGUAAUACGUAGGUGGCGAGCGUUAUCCGGAAUUAUUGGGCGUAAAGCGCGCGCAGGCGGUUUCUUAAGUCUGAUGUGAAAGCCCACGGCUCAACCGUGGAGGGUCAUUGGAAACUGGGGAACUUGAGUGCAGAAGAGGAAAGCGGAAUUCCACGUGUAGCGGUGAAAUGCGUAGAGAUGUGGAGGAACACCAGUGGCGAAGGCGGCUUUCUGGUCUGUAACUGGCGCUGAGGCGCGAAAGCGUGGGGAGCAAACAGGAUUAGAUACCCUGGUAGUCCACGCCGUAAACGAUGAGUGCUAAGUGUUAGAGGGUUUCCGCCCUUUAGUGCUGAAGUUAACGCAUUAAGCACUCCGCCUGGGGAGUACGGUCGCAAGACUG
RNAcentral lists this ribosomal RNA (514 nucleotides) under uncultured Bacillota bacterium. Its description in RNAcentral is "bacterial SSU rRNA". It matches the Rfam family "Bacterial small subunit ribosomal RNA", at positions 391 to 896 of the family's 1533-position model. The record is from RNAcentral. Lineage: Bacteria; Bacillati; Bacillota.